UAGGGAAUCUUCCGCAAUGGACGCAAGUCUGACGGAGCAACGCCGCGUGAGUGAAGAAGGAUUUCGGUUCGUAAAACUCUGUUGUUAGAGAAGAACAGCGCAUAGAGUAACUGUUAUGCGUGUGACGGUAUCUAACCAGAAAGCCACGGCUAACUACGUGCCAGCAGCCGCGGUAAUACGUAGGUGGCAAGCGUUGUCCGGAUUUAUUGGGCGUAAAGCGAGCGCAGGCGGUCAAUUAAGUCUGAUGUGAAAGCCCCCGGCUCAACCGGGGAGGGUCAUUGGAACUGGUUGACUUGAGUGCAGAAGAGGAGAGUGGAAUUCCAUGUGUAGCGGUGAAAUGCGUAGAUAUAUGGAGGAACACCAGUGGCGAAGGCGACUCUCUGGUCUGUAACUGACGCUGAGGCUCGAAAGCGUGGGUAGCAAACAGG
This 428-nucleotide ribosomal RNA is filed under the name Bacteroidota bacterium. Its description in RNAcentral is "Bacteroidetes bacterium partial 16S ribosomal RNA". It matches the Rfam family "Bacterial small subunit ribosomal RNA", at positions 355 to 776 of the family's 1533-position model. The record is from RNAcentral. Lineage: Bacteria; Pseudomonadati; Bacteroidota.